UACGGGGGGGGGCAAGCGUUGUUCGGAAUUACUGGGCGUAAAGGGCUCGUAGGCGGCCAACUAAGUCAGACGUGAAAUCCCUCGGCUUAACCGGGGAACUGCGUCUGAUACUGGUUGGCUUGAGUGUGGGAGAGGGAGUGCGGAAUUCCAGGUGUAGCGGUGAAAUGCGUAGAUAUCUGGAGGAACACCGGUGGCGAAGGCGGCAUCCUGGACCAUUACUGACGCUGAGGAGCGAAAGCCAGGGGAGCAAAGCGGG
Molecule: ribosomal RNA, 256 nt
Filed under: uncultured bacterium
Lineage: Bacteria
Description: partial 16S ribosomal RNA
Rfam family: Bacterial small subunit ribosomal RNA
Source: RNAcentral